Molecule: ribosomal RNA, 305 nt
Filed under: uncultured bacterium
Lineage: Bacteria
Description: bacterial SSU rRNA
Rfam family: Bacterial small subunit ribosomal RNA
Source: RNAcentral
UCCUACGGGGGGCAGCAGUGAGGAAUAUUGGUCAAUGGUCGGGAGACUGAACCAGCCAAGCCGCGUGAGGGAUGAAGGUACAGAGUAUCGUAAACCUCUUUUGUCAGGGAACAAAGGCGGGGACGUGUCCCCGGAUGAGUGUACCUGAAAAAAAAGCAUCGGCUAACUCCGUGCCAGCAGCCGCGGUAAUACGGAGGAUGCGAGCGUUAUCCGGAUUUAUUGGGUUUAAAGGGUGCGCAGGCGGUCUGUUAAGUCAGCGGUCAAAGCCCGGGGCUCAAACCCGGCCCGCCGUUGAAACUGGCAGG